RNAcentral lists this ribosomal RNA (467 nucleotides) under uncultured bacterium. Its description in RNAcentral is "partial 16S ribosomal RNA". It matches the Rfam family "Bacterial small subunit ribosomal RNA", at positions 28 to 506 of the family's 1533-position model. The record is from RNAcentral.
GACGAACGCUGGCGGCGUGCUUAACACAUGCAAGUCGAACGGAAAGGCCCUGCUUUUGUGGGGUGCUCGAGUGGCGAACGGGUGAGUAACACGUGAGUAACCUGCCCUUGACUUUGGGAUAACUUCAGGAAACUGGGGCUAAUACCGGAUAGGAGCUCCUGCUGCAUGGUGGGGGUUGGAAAGUUUCGGCGGUUGGGGAUGGACUCGCGGCUUAUCAGCUUGUUGGUGGGGUAGUGGCUUACCAAGGCUUUGACGGGUAGCCGGCCUGAGAGGGUGACCGGCACAAUGGGGAUGGAUGACGGGCCGAGCCUCAGAGGGGGGGAGAAGGGGGGGAGGUUGGAACAAGGGGGGGAAGCCGGAGGCAGCAACGCCGGGUGGGGGAGGAGGGCCUUCGGGUUGGAAACCGCUUUCGCCUGUGACGAAGGGGGGGGGAGGGGAAGGGGUAAAGAAGCACCGGCUAAUUACGU